This 1682-nucleotide ribosomal RNA is filed under the name Pediculus humanus corporis (human body louse). RNAcentral describes it as "SSU rRNA". It matches the Rfam family "Eukaryotic small subunit ribosomal RNA", at positions 31 to 1460 of the family's 1831-position model. Lineage: Eukaryota; Metazoa; Arthropoda; Insecta; Psocodea; Pediculidae. The record is from RNAcentral.
CUUGUCUCAAAGAUUAAGCCAUGCAUGUCUCAGUGCAAGCCGAAUUAAGGUGAAACCGCGAAAGGCUCAUUAAAUCAGCUAUGAUUCAAUUGAUGGUACGAUCACGGUUACUUGGAUAACUGUGGCAAUUCUAGAGCUAAUACAUGCCAAACGAGUUCCGACCGCGGGUUCGAACGAUCUCGCGGAACGAAUGCUUUUAUUAGAACAAAACCAAUCGGAUCUAUCAUUCGUUCGAAUGACAGAUCCGCAAAUCUAAGACGAAUCUGAAUAACUUUGAGCUGAUCGCACGGUCCAUAGAACCGGCGACGCAUCUUUCAAAUGUCUGACUUAUCAACUUUCGAUGGUAGGUUACGCGCCUACCAUGGUGAUAACGGGUGACGGGGAAUCAGGGUUCGAUACCGGAGAGGGAGCCUGAGAAACGGCUACCACAUCCAAGGAAGGCAGCAGGCGCGCAAAUUACCCACUCCCGGCACGGGGAGGUAGUGACGAAAAAUAACGAUGCAGGACUCUUUUCGAGGCUCUGCAAUCGGAAUGAGAACACUCUAAAUCAUUUAACGAGUAUCCAUUGGAGGGCAAGUCUGGUGCCAGCAGCCGCGGUAAUUCCAGCUCCAAUAGCGUAUAUUAAAGUUGCUGCGGAUAAAAAGCUCGUAGUUUGAUUUGUGUUCCGAGCAGUCGGUACGCCGUUCGUCGGCGGUCAACUGACUCGCGGCGGAACGUCCUGCCGGUUGACGGAGCGGGUGGCGGCGGCGGCGCGAGUCGUCGCCGCUUCGAGUCGUCGGACCGGAGAGCAGCACCCGAUCUCCGGAUCGCGGCGCGCGCUUCGCGUCCGACGACGUUUCUGCGUCCGUCAGUCUUAGAAAAUCCCGUCGCGGCGCUCUUAACCGAGUGACGCGCCGGGCCGGCACGUUUACUUUGAACAAAACUGAGUGCUUAAAGCAGGCCGAACCCCAGCGCCUGAAAGUCGGAUGCAUGGAAUAAUGGAAUAGGGCCUCGGUUCUAUUUUGUUGGUUUUCGGAAUUUCCGAGGCAAUGAUUAAUGGGGACAGGCGGGGGCAUUAGUAUUGCGGCGUUAGAGGUGAAAUUCUUGGAUCGUCGCAAGACUAACCUAAGCGAAAGCAUUUGCCAAGGAUGUUUUCCUUAAUCAAGAACGAAAGUUGGAGGUUCGAAGGCGAUCAGAUACCGCCCUAGUUCUUACCGUAAACUAUGCCGGCUAGCGAUCCGUCGAUGUUCGUUCAGAUGAUUCGGCGGGCAGCUUGAGGGAAACCAAAGCCUUCGGGUUCCGGGGGAAGUAUGGUUGCAAAGCUGAAACUUAAAGGAAUUGACGGAAGGGCACCACCAGGAGUGGAGCUUGCGGCUUAAUUUGACUCAACACGGGAAACCUCACCAGGCCCGGACACCGGAAGGAUUGACAGAUCAAGAGCUCUUUCUUGAUUCGGUGGGUGGUGGUGCAUGGCCGUUCUUAGUUGGUGGAGCGAUUUGUCUGGUUAAUUCCGAUAACGAACGAGACUCUAGCCUGUUAACUAGGCGACGAUCCGCGGACCCUUACACGGGGUAUCCGGCGGAUCAUCCGGCAUGGGAGGGCGGCGCGCUCCGUCGCGUCGUCUUCGAACUCGCUGCCGGCGACGGAAUUUCUUCUUAGAGGGACAAGCGGCUUCUAGCCGCGCGAGAUUGAGCAAUAACAGG